GACGAACGCUGGCGGCGUGCUUAACACAUGCAAGUCGAACGGAAAGGCCCUGCUUUUGUGGGGUGCUCGAGUGGCGAACGGGUGAGUAACACGUGAGUAACCUGCCCUUGACUUUGGGAUAACUUCAGGAAACUUGGGCUAAUACCGGAUAGGAGCUCCUGCUGCAUGGCGGGGGUUGGAAAGUUUCGGCGGUUGGGGAUGGACUCGCGGCUUAUCAGCUUGUUGGUGGGGUAGUGGCUUACCAAGUCUUUGACGGGUAGCCGGCCUGAGAGGGUGACCGACCACAUUGUGACUCAGAUACCGCCCAGACUCCAACGGAAGGCAGCAGUGGGGAAUAUUGCACAAUGGGCGGAAGCCUGAUGCAGCAACGCCGCGUGCGGGAUGACGGCCUUCGGGUUGUAAACCGCUUUCGCCUGUGACGAAGCGUGAGUGACGGUAAUGGGUAAAGAAGCACCGGCUAACUACGUG
Molecule: ribosomal RNA, 468 nt
Filed under: uncultured bacterium
Lineage: Bacteria
Description: partial 16S ribosomal RNA
Rfam family: Bacterial small subunit ribosomal RNA
Source: RNAcentral